UUUUAGGGUUCAUUAUUAAGCUAUCAGAUUUUGAGAAUCUUUGGGCGUUUCCAAUCUAGUUUUAUCCAUUUAAGCAUUUAGUUGCCUAGUUGCAUAUUGUCUAAUUGAAACAUUUACAAAAUAAUCUGCAGCAACCAUGGGUUCAAAAGACACGAACCACCUUGCUCUAUUCACUACGGACUCGUUUAGCGCUUAAGAUCGGAGUGGAUUGGAUCAGUCAUGGGAUUCCAAACAUGUAGAACGAAGAAGUGAAAUUUUUUUGAGCAAGUUGAAGUUUGGUUGGACAAGGACUAGGCUGAAUCUCAACAAAGGAGAUAGGAAAUGAUGAGACAAUGUGCACACAUGAGAGACAACAGAAGGUGCCCAUGUGAAGGUGGUAUCCAC
Molecule: long non-coding RNA, 384 nt
Organism: Pyrus x bretschneideri (Chinese white pear)
Lineage: Eukaryota; Viridiplantae; Streptophyta; Magnoliopsida; Rosales; Rosaceae
Exons: 2
Source: RefSeq, a predicted model, not a curated record